GUCUAUGGCCGUACCAUCCAAAAGGUGCCUGAUUGUGUCUGAUCUCAGAAGUUAAGUCAGGCCUGGUUAGUACUUAGAUGGGGGGAAGUGCGCUGGGAAUGAAUGAAAGAGAGAGGAUUAACUCAGUCUUUAUAUAUC
Molecule: ribosomal RNA, 138 nt
Filed under: Ovis aries (sheep)
Lineage: Eukaryota; Metazoa; Chordata; Mammalia; Artiodactyla; Bovidae
Source: RNAcentral